UCUUCUCUCUACACGAAAGCACAGACAUUUUGAAAUUAUUUGGACACCAAUUGGAGCCACCACGCUGUGAUUGACAGCCCAUUGCCGCUGUGUAUGAAAGAAGCCCUUUCCGGGUUGUAAGCGAUACUUUUCAAGCGAGGGAGGAAGGGCUGUUAACGUUAUAUAACUUUCAGCUGAUUGAACGUUAUCUCGCGAGAAAGAAGGCACGGGCCUAAUCUCCGGUGCCAGCCAGGCCGGGGGUAAUUACGAGAGGGUGCAAGCCGUUAAUUCGAAAAUUACUGGGGCGUAAAGCGCAGCGCGGCGCGGUGUGUUAAGUCAGGAUGUGAAAUCCCCGGGCUCACCUUGGAAAUUGCAUUUGAAAUGGCCAGGCUGGAUUCUGGUAGAGGGGGGUAGAUUUCCAGGGGUAGCGGUGAAAUGGGUAGAGUUCGGGAGGAAUACGGGUGGGGAAGGCGGCCCCCUGAACAAAGACUGACGUUCAGGUGCGAAAGCGUGGGGAGCAAACAGAAUUAGAUACCUUGUUAUUCCACGCGGUAAACGAUGUCGACUUGGAGGUUGUUCCCUUGAGGAGUGGCUUCCGAAGUUAACGCGUUAAUUCGACCCCUUGGGGAGUACGGCCGCAAGGUUAAAAUUCAAUUGAAUUGACGGGGGCCCGCCCAAGCGGUGGACCAUGUGGUUUAUUUGGAUGCAACGGGAAGACCCUUACUUACUCUUGACAUCCAGAGAACUUAGCAGAGAUGCUUUGGUCCCUUCGGGAACUCUGAGCCAGGUGCUCCAUGGCGGUCUUCAGCUCGUGUUGUGAAAUGUUGGGUUAAUUCCCGCAACGAGCCCAACCCUUUUCCUUUGUUGCCACCGGUUCGGUCGGGAACUCAAAGGAGACUGCCAGUGAUAAACCGGAGGAAGGUGGGGAUGACGUCAAGUCAUCAUGGCCCUUACGAGUAGGGCUACACACGUGCUACAAUGGCAUAUACAAAGAGAAGCGACCUCGCGAGAGCAAGCGGACCUCAUAAAGUAUGUCGUAGUCCGGAUUGGAGUCUGCAACUCGACUCCAUGAAGUCGGAAUCGCUAGUAAUCGUAGAUCAGAAUGCUACGGUGAAUACGUUCCCGGGCCUUGUACACACCGCCCGUCACACCAUGGGAGUGGGUUGCACAAAGAAGUAGGUAGCUUAACCUUCGGGAGGGCGCUACCACUUGAUAGU
This 1196-nucleotide ribosomal RNA is filed under the name Klebsiella planticola. RNAcentral describes it as "bacterial SSU rRNA". It matches the Rfam family "Bacterial small subunit ribosomal RNA". Lineage: Bacteria; Pseudomonadati; Pseudomonadota; Gammaproteobacteria; Enterobacterales; Enterobacteriaceae. The record is from RNAcentral.